RNAcentral lists this ribosomal RNA (681 nucleotides) under Salmonella enterica. RNAcentral's name for it is "partial 23S ribosomal RNA". It matches the Rfam family "Bacterial large subunit ribosomal RNA", at positions 1 to 713 of the family's 2925-position model. The record is from RNAcentral. Lineage: Bacteria; Pseudomonadati; Pseudomonadota; Gammaproteobacteria; Enterobacterales; Enterobacteriaceae.
GGGUUGUGAGGUUAAGCGACUAAGCGUACACGGUGGAUGCCCUGGCAGUCAGAGGCGAUGAAGGGCGUGCUAAUCUGCGAUAAGCGCCGGUAAGGUGAUAUGAACCGUUAUAACCGACGAUACCCGAAUGGGGAAACCCAGUGUGACUCGUCACACUAUCAUUAACUGAAUCCAUAGGUUAAUGAGGCGAACCGGGGGAACUGAAACAUCUAAGUACCCCGAGGAAAAGAAAUCAACCGAGAUUCCCCCAGUAGCGGCGAGCGAACGGGGAGGAGCCCAGAGCCUGAAUCAGCAUGUGUGUUAGUGGAAGCGUCUGGAAAGGCGCGCGAUACAGGGUGACAGCCCCGUACACAAAAGCGCAUGUGCUGUGAGCUCGAUGAGUAGGGCGGGACACGUGGUAUCCUGUCUGAAUAUGGGGGGACCAUCCUCCAAGGCUAAAUACUCCUGACUGACCGAUAGUGAACCAGUACCGUGAGGGAAAGGCGAAAAGAACCCCGGCGAGGGGAGUGAAAAAGAACCUGAAACCGUGUACGUACAAGCAGUGGGAGCACAGGUUUACCUGUGUGACUGCGUACCUUUUGUAUAAUGGGUCAGCGACUUAUAUUCUGUAGCAAGGUUAACCGAAUAGGGGAGCCGCAGGGAAACCGAGUCUUAAUUGGGCGUUAAGUUGCAGGGUAUAGA